This 95-nucleotide ribosomal RNA is filed under the name Erechtites valerianifolius. RNAcentral describes it as "partial 18S ribosomal RNA". It matches the Rfam family "Eukaryotic small subunit ribosomal RNA", at positions 1737 to 1831 of the family's 1831-position model. Lineage: Eukaryota; Viridiplantae; Streptophyta; Magnoliopsida; Asterales; Asteraceae. The record is from RNAcentral.
UGGCGACGUUGCGAGAAUUCCACUGAACCUUAUCAUUUAGAGGAAGGAGAAGUCGUAACAAGGUUUCCGUAGGUGAACCUGCGGAAGGAUCAUUG